RNAcentral lists this long non-coding RNA (1201 nucleotides) under Phasianus colchicus (ring-necked pheasant). RNAcentral's name for it is "lncRNA (ENSPCLG00000017816.1)". Lineage: Eukaryota; Metazoa; Chordata; Aves; Galliformes; Phasianidae. The record is from RNAcentral.
CGCUAUGGGGCAGCUGUAGGGCAGCCAUGGGGCAGCUGUGGGGUCACUAUGGGGCAGCUGUGGGGUCUCUGUGGGGCAGCUAUGGGGCAGGGCGGCGCUGCAGCCCCACAUCUCCCCACAGAUCGCCAUGGAGUUCUGUGUGGGUUCGGCCGCCGAUCUGCUGCAGCGUGAGUGGGGCUGGGGGCCGAUGUGGGGCGGAUGUGGGGCUGGGGGCGGAUGUGGGGCGGAUGUGGGGCGGAUGUGGGGCGGCUGCUGCUUAUGGGGCCCUAUGGGGUCUUCAUGGGUUUUUUUUGUGUCUCUGUGGGGUCCUUAUAGGGUUCCUUAAGGGUUCCUAUGGGGUCCCUAUGGGUCUGUCCCUGUGGGGUCUCUCUAUGGGGUCUUUCUAUGGGGUCUCUCUAUGGGGUCUUUCUAUGGGGUCUCUGCCUAUGGGGUUUCUGUUUAUGGGGUCUUUUUAUGGGGUUUCUCUGUAUGGGGUGUCUCUAUGGGGUGUUUCUCUAUGGGGUCUCUCUCUAUGGGGUGUCUCUACGGGGUCUCUUUAUGGGGUCGAUUCUUAUGGGGUCUCUCUAUGGGAUUUCUCUCUAUGGGGUCUCUCCCUGUAGGGUCUCUGUUCAUGGGGUGUUUUUCUAUGGGGUCUCUUUAUGAGGUCUCUCUAUGGGGUCCCUAUGGGGUCUGUCCCUAUGGGGUCUCCCUAUGGGGUCUCCCUAUGGGGUCCCUAUGGUUCUCUCUAUGGGGUUUCUCUAUGGGGUCUGUCCCUAUGGGGUGUCCCUAUGGGGUCCCUAUGGGGUCUGUCCCUAUGGGGUGUCCCGCUAUGGGGUGUCUCUUCAUGGGGUCUGUCCCUAUGGGGUGUUCCUACGGGGUCUCUCUAUGGCUCCCUAUGUGUCCCUAUGGGGUCUCUCUGUGGGUUCUGUCCCUAUGGGUCCCUAUGGGGUCCCUAUGGGGUGUCCCUAUGUGUCCCUAUGGGUCCCUAUGGGUCCCUAUGGGGUCUCUCUAUGGGGUCUGUUCCUAUGGGUCUCUAUGGAGUCUGUCCCUAUGGGGUGUCCCUAUGGGGUCUCCCUAUGUGUCCCUAUGUGUCCCUAUGUGUCCCUAUGGGGUGUUCCUAUGGGGUGUUCCUAUGGGUCCCUAUGUGUCCCUAUGGGUUCUCUCUAUGUGUCCCUAUGGGGUCUCUCUAUGGGGUCCCUAUGGGGUGUCCCUAUGGGGUCUC